Molecule: long non-coding RNA, 1143 nt
Organism: Oncorhynchus keta (chum salmon)
Lineage: Eukaryota; Metazoa; Chordata; Actinopteri; Salmoniformes; Salmonidae
Exons: 4
Source: RefSeq, a predicted model, not a curated record
GACAGACAGACAGAGGGGUUACAAAACACAUCCAACUUCACCUGGAGGGGACAGACAGACAGAGAGGUUACAAAACACAUCCAACUUCACCUGGAGGGGACAGACAGACAGAGAGGUUACAAAACACAUCCAACUUCACCUGGAGGGGACAGACAGACAGAGAGGUUACAAAACACAUCCAACUUCACCUGGAGGGGACAGACAGACAGAGGGGUUACAAAACACAUCCAACUUCACCUGGAGGGGACAGACAGACAGAGAGGUUACAAAACACAUCCAACUUCACCUGGAGGGGACAGACAGACAGACAGGUUACAAAACACAUCCAACUUCACCUGGAGGGGACAGACAGACAGAGGGGUUACAAAACACAUCCAACUUCACCUGGAGGGGACAGACAGACAGAGGGGUUACAAAACACAUCCAACUUCACCUGGAGGGGACAGACAGACAGAGGGGUUACAAAACACAUCCAACUUCACCUGGAGGGGACAGACAGACAGAGAGGUUACAAAACACAUCCAACUUCACCUGGAGGGGACAGACAGACAGAGGGGUUACAAAACACAUCCAACUUCACCUGGAGGGGACAGACAGACAGAGAGGUUACAAAACACAUCCAACUUCACCUGGAGGGGACAGACAGACAGAGGGGUUACAAAACAGACAGAUACAAUUAUAAUCUCCACCCGGCACAGCCAGAAGAGGACUGGCCACCCCACAUAGCCUGGUUCCUCUCUAGGUUUCUUCCUAGGUUUUGGCCUUUCUGGGGAGUUUUUCCUAGCCACCGUGCUUCUACACCUGCAUUGCUUGCUGUUUGGGAUUUUAGGCUGGGUUUCUGUACAGCACUUUGAGAUAUCAGCUGAUGUACGAAGGGCUAUAUAAAUAAAAUUUGAUACACACACGGACGGACACAGAGACAGACGAAACAAAUAUCUGAAUUCAUUACCCACAACUUCAGCCUAAGAGAUGCAAGGUGUCACCACCAGGGGGAGUCAGCGGGUUGACACACAGUCAGUUCCACAAGUUCACUAAACUAUCCUGCAUGUCCGGCAAUAGCAUUCCACGUCAACAAUCUCAUCUGGGUUCUCAGUGAAAUGUAUCCUACAUCUUUUAGUAUAAAUAAGAAUAAAAAGGCAACAA